This 75-nucleotide transfer RNA is filed under the name Actinomycetota bacterium. RNAcentral's name for it is "tRNA-Thr". The record is from RNAcentral. Lineage: Bacteria; Bacillati; Actinomycetota.
GCCGCAGGUCAGCGGAUCGGCUGUUUCGUACUCGUAAUGCGUAGGUCAAGGGUUCGACUCCCUUAGGCGGCUCCA